ACAUUUCUUGUUCAACUCUUUCCGCCUGCUGGCCUCAGUCUUCGUAGAGCGGCACCGAACCGAACAACAACAGACCUGUCUAUCUGUGAGAGAGGGAAAUGAAAAGGAGGCUACAGAAGAAAUACUUCAUUUUAAUUCUAGGAUAUUCCGUGUUACUUCUGUUAAUUCCGUAUAUGCUGGACCACAGGAGUAAAUCAGGGUAUAUUAAACAUGGCAAGCAACAGCCGAGGUGCCCCGACCUCGAUAUGUGGAAUAACGGGGACAAGUUCAGCAACACUACGGAUACMGUGGAAGAGACGGUAGUCAACAGGAGCCAGUCUAAAAUACACGUUUAUUUACAUGCUACAUGGAGGACGGGGUCAUCGUUCUUAGGGGAGUUAUUCAAUCAACACCCCGAUGUGUUUUACCUCUACGAGCCCAUGUGGCAUAUAUGGCAGGCUCUCUACCCAGGAGACGCGGCCAGUCUGCAAGGAGCCGUGCGGGAUAUGAUGAAGUCGUUAUUACGAUGCGACUUCUCAGUUUUAAAACUGUACACAGGGAGCCAAAAUAUCACCACGUCUUUUAUAUUUGGAUGGAGAAAGAACAAAGUGAUCUGCUCGGAACCUCUAUGCGAGGCGUACAAGAGAAACGAAGUGGGAUUAGUCCAAGAAGACGUCUGUGGAAAGUGUCCAAGGAAGGAUAUCAAAGAGUUGGAGAGGGAGUGCAAGAAGUACCGCGUCGUGGUAAUCAAAGGUGUGCGGGUUCUGGACCUCGGUGUUCUCGUCCCGUUAAUGAGAGAUCCCGCUUUAAAUCUCCAGAUCAUUCAGUUGUUUAGAGACCCGCGGGCAGUGCACAAUUCACGACUGAAAUCGAAACAAGCUCUGGUCAAGGAGAGCAUACAGGUACUGAGGAGUAAAAAACAUACGGAGAAAUACAAGCGUUUACUGGUGCCAAACAACCGGGGGAACCGGGCAGAGAAUUAUGUCUCUAGCGCAAUGGAGCUAAUAUGUGACAACUGGCUGAAUGAUAUGAUGCUCAUGAUGAACGCGCCCCCCUGGGUGAAGAGGAAUUACAUCAAGAUCCUCUACGAGGACUUGGUUCUGCACCCCAUGGAGGAACUCAAGAGACUCUACAGCUUCUCCAAACUCUCCUCCUUUCCUGCCAUGGAUAAGUUCGUGUUGAACAUGACCCACGGCCACGGCUACUCCUCAGACAAACCGUUUGUAAUAUCGUCCAGAGACGCUAAGGAAGCCAUCUUCGCAUGGAGAGAGCGGUUAAACAUUGAGCAGAUCUCCCAAGUGGAAGACUACUGCAGUGAGGUCAUGAGACAACUGGGUUAUCAGAAGAACAGUGUGGAUCAAACAUAGACAUUACAGCAUCAAGAUGGUGGUGAUGAUGGAGGUAUGUAGGCCUGUGAUGGUAUGUAGGCCUGUGAUGAGUGAUGGAUGU
Salvelinus sp. IW2-2015 is the source of this 1428-nucleotide RNA transcript. It is a transcript of the gene named carbohydrate (N-acetylglucosamine 6-O) sulfotransferase 7, with no coding region annotated. The record is from RefSeq and is a predicted model, not a curated record. NCBI's taxonomy places the organism in Eukaryota, Metazoa, Chordata, Actinopteri, Salmoniformes, Salmonidae.